RNAcentral lists this unclassified non-coding RNA (301 nucleotides) under Hevea brasiliensis (rubber tree). Lineage: Eukaryota; Viridiplantae; Streptophyta; Magnoliopsida; Malpighiales; Euphorbiaceae. The record is from RNAcentral.
GAAAUUGGAUAGCAACAUGACUAAUCCCAGCCAAUGACGGCAAGAGGCCACUGUACAAUCCGCGGAUCCCUUCUUCAUGUGUUAUUCGUAUUAAAGCAGACAAUAUACCUUUAUAAGGAACUACACCCUCCCUCAUUCCCUGUGUCAUGAGCCGGGUCUUAACAACCCACAAUGGAUUUGUUGUAAUGGAUGUUGCAGCCCCCGCCCCCGCAGCUGCAAGCAUGUUUGCACCAAUCGUAAGCUGCCCACUGCUAUCCACAUGUGAAUGCAACGAAUCCUUGAGAUGUUCAUAAACUGUGAA